AAGCAAAAUUCCAUUGACCAUUGUUCCUAGAAUUUUGGCAAGCAAUGGUAUCCUACAGGUGUUCUCGCAGCCUGCCUUGUGGGGAUGUUCAACCAGGAAGUGGGUCCAUAAACAGGACAGAACCACACAGACACAAGCCAUGUGAGGAAAUCCCCAAGGAAUUGGAAAAAGGGAGAAGGAUUGAAAAAACACAGGUUUUGGUGACAAAAGCAGCUCUACCUUUUAUCAACUGUGAGAUGUCUGGUAAGCAGUUCCAUUGUGCUAACCAGUUUACCAGGGAAAAUGACACAGAGUUUCCUUAGGUUACUAUGAGA
RNAcentral lists this long non-coding RNA (314 nucleotides) under Vulpes vulpes (red fox). RNAcentral describes it as "lncRNA (ENSVVUG00000017108.1)". Lineage: Eukaryota; Metazoa; Chordata; Mammalia; Carnivora; Canidae. The record is from RNAcentral.